This 253-nucleotide ribosomal RNA is filed under the name uncultured bacterium. RNAcentral describes it as "partial 16S ribosomal RNA". It matches the Rfam family "Bacterial small subunit ribosomal RNA", at positions 524 to 776 of the family's 1533-position model. The record is from RNAcentral.
UACAGAGGUGGCAAGCGUUGUUCGGAAUUAUUGGGCGUAAAGAGCUCGUAGGCGGUUUGUCGCGUCUGCUGUGAAAACUCGGGGCUUAACUCCGGGCCUGCAGUGGGUACGGGCAGACUAGAGUGCGGUAGGGGAGACUGGAAUUCCUGGUGUAGCGGUGAAAUGCGCAGAUAUCAGGAGGAACACCGGUGGCGAAGGCGGGUCUCUGGGCCGUAACUGACGCUGAGAAGCGAAAGCGUGGGGAGCGAACAGG